UACACACAAAAAACCCCACAAAUUCACAAAAAACUUCCUGCACAAACAGACAUGAAACUACCACUGUUCUUCUUUCUCAUCUUGCAGGUGAUGGACGGUUGAAAGGACGAAUAACCAAGACGAACAAGACGAGCAAAACAAUGGAGACGAGCCGCCACAGGAGCCUGAAGGGAAAGUGUGAGUAUCUUUCACCUGUACUUUACGAGGGGGAUCAAACAUGGCUGAUAUAUCUGCAGAAUACUGAUGGUCACUGUUUCUCCAGAACAAGGGAACCAGUUGGUGCUCGGCCCGGGACAGGAAGGCUCUGCAGCGGGUGAUCCAUCCAUCCACAGAACAUCAGUGACAGAGGAGAGGUCCUUCUGCAGGCGCCCUGCUGUGCAUAUUUGUCAACCGAGUCCGACGUGUUCGGGGAGCAGCCGGAGCUGCUUUUUCUCAAGGCAGGUGGGAAAAUACGGUUUUUAGGGUAUAUGAUGACUUAAUAAGCAGUUUGCAGUAUGUUUUAUGUAUGGCCGUAUGUAUUAUUUAAACUGCAGCUCGUGUGGUGUAAAGUCAGCAGAAAAUCCUCAUUCACGGCUGAAGCUACCGCCUGAGCUCAUGUUUAGUUGUUUUUCUGGAUUUGUGGGGUUGUACGCAACAUUUUACUGAAAAAAAAUACACAUUCUGGAAGGUUUCCAGUAUUUCUAGACCCUUAUGUGACUACUUUUACCAAACUGUUGUUCCUGGAAGUGUGGAGAAAGCUUUAAAGCGACAUGUUGGUGAAAAAAACAGGCACAUUCAGUAAUUUCCUACAAGUUCGCCAUGUAAUCUGUAAGUUAGCAUCGACAAAAACUGUGCUCGAUUAAAAGUCCUGUCACUCUUCAAAAAUUGAUGAUGAAAAAGUGAUUCUUUAUUAAUUGCCGGCUGUGUUCAUCAGUUCACUUGUGUUUGAAACAUAUCGGUCACGUCCACCUGAAAGAAAAGUCGUUCAUGUGCAUAAUUUGGUCUCAAUUUAUCAUUCUACAUCAGUGUGACCAGUUACAUGAACACGCUUGCAGACUGUUAUCUUGAAAUAUUAACAUGAGAGCAGGAGCAGAGGUAGUUUUGACGUUUCUCUGAUGUUCUGCUGAUUUCAUAAGACCGCUGCACUGUUAAUUCAUCUGUUAAAACAGGCGGUGAGCUCUUUUUUCUCCUGCACCUUUGGCCACUAUGCUGCAAUUUAUAUUUUAAAAAGCUACUCAAGCAGGCUACUGAGUGUGCAUAGGUAACAUAGAGACAAAACUGGAGUUGACUUCCAGUUAAAUUUAAACACACACAUGCAAAAAAGACUCCUUUUCAGGUAAAAAUAGAAAUAGUAAAAGAUAUUUGGAUAUGUCUGAGGGGGAGGGACUCAUGGGUGACCUACGACCCUGCUGUCAGCCAAUCUCUGAACUGCAGACGCAUAAAUUCCAAUCAAUGAUUGGAUCCCUGCAUCCAAACGGCGGUGUGAAUGGGGCUGCUGUGUGAGAGGGACAGGAGAUUCCCUUUCUCCUCGGGUGGUGGGGGGGUUUUAGGGUCAGGAAG
This 1539-nucleotide long non-coding RNA is filed under the name Sparus aurata (gilthead seabream). RNAcentral describes it as "lncRNA (ENSSAUG00010002511.1)". The record is from RNAcentral. Lineage: Eukaryota; Metazoa; Chordata; Actinopteri; Spariformes; Sparidae.